RNAcentral lists this ribosomal RNA (253 nucleotides) under uncultured bacterium. Its description in RNAcentral is "partial 16S ribosomal RNA". It matches the Rfam family "Bacterial small subunit ribosomal RNA", at positions 524 to 776 of the family's 1533-position model. The record is from RNAcentral.
UACGUAGGGGGCUAGCGUUGUCCGGAAUCAUUGGGCGUAAAGAGCGUGUAGGCGGCCUGGUAAGUCCGCUGUAAAAGUCAAAGGCUCAACCUUUGAAUGUCAGUGGAUACUGCCGGGCUAGAGUCCGGAAGAGGCGAGUGGAAUUCCCGGUGUAGCGGUGAAAUGCGCAGAUAUCGGGAGGAACACCAAUGGCGAAGGCAGCUCGCUGGGACGUGACUGACGCUGAGACGCGAAAGCGUGGGGAGCAAACAGG